RNAcentral lists this ribosomal RNA (473 nucleotides) under uncultured bacterium. RNAcentral describes it as "bacterial SSU rRNA". It matches the Rfam family "Bacterial small subunit ribosomal RNA", at positions 335 to 801 of the family's 1533-position model. The record is from RNAcentral.
ACUCCUACGGGAGGCAGCAGUAGGGAAUCUUCCACAAUGGGCGCAAGCCUGAUGGAGCAACACCGCGUGAGUGAAGAAGGGUUUCGGCUCGUAAAGCUCUGUUGUUAAAGAAGAACACGUAUGAGAGUAACUGUUCAUACGUUGACGGUAUUUAACCAGAAAGUCACGGCUAACUACGUGCCAGCAGCCGCGGUAAUACGUAGGUGGCAAGCGUUAUCCGGAUUUAUUGGGUGUAAAGAGAGUGCAGGCGGUUUUCUAAGUCUGAUGUGAAAGCCUUCGGCUUAACCGGAGAAGUGCAUCGGAAACUGGAUAACUUGAGUGCAGAAGAGGGUAGUGGAACUCCAUGUGUAGCGGUGGAAUGCGUAGAUAUAUGGAAGAACACCAGUGGCGAAGGCGGCUACCUGGUCUGCAACUGACGCUGAGACUCGAAAGCAUGGGUAGCGAACAGGAUUAGAUACCCUGGUAGGAUAGCG